UGUUCUAGGCUGCUGCUUAGCGUGGCGAGAAUUUUGCUCCACUUUCUCCGGUCCCCGAGAUUCGGCUUCCACUAACGCAGGAGAGAGCUUUUGCAGU
Notothenia coriiceps (black rockcod) is the source of this 97-nucleotide long non-coding RNA. RefSeq lists it as uncharacterized. The record is from RefSeq and is a predicted model, not a curated record. The transcript has 3 exons. Lineage: Eukaryota; Metazoa; Chordata; Actinopteri; Perciformes; Nototheniidae.